Molecule: long non-coding RNA, 807 nt
Filed under: Olea europaea (common olive)
Lineage: Eukaryota; Viridiplantae; Streptophyta; Magnoliopsida; Lamiales; Oleaceae
Description: long non-coding RNA (OEUR_LNC010657)
Source: RNAcentral
UGUAAGUGAUCAAGGAUCGGCCAUUACGGGGGUUGAACCGGAUGGGCAUGCCUCGGCCCGACCCAGGAUUGAACGCGUAAGCCAUCUUGAACCCAUAUUUGUUGAGAAUAUCUCGGAUCUCCAGCUGAUCCUGGUCCCACCCGCCGAGGUCAGUCUUAAACACCUCGAUCGGGCCCUUCCCUUGCCGAUAUACGUGCACCUCCGCCUCGGGCACCUUCGUGCUUACAGAUCGAGUUCUUAACGGACUCGGGUCUGGGGUCUGGGUCGAUAUUAAAGGGGUUUCUUCUUCGAUUUCUCCGAUGCUGUUGGUUGUGGUAUCGUCCGCCAUUGUUCCAGGUUUAUUUUUCUGAUUUUUUAUGCUAGCCUGUUUGUGUAUGCACGUAUAGUGUCAACUUUAAGAAAAUUGCAGACAUGAUCCAAAUGUUUCAAUAAUUAUGUCUUAGGUCCUUAACUUUUUUCGUAUUUAAGAUCUCACUUCUCACAAAGAUCAGCCAUUACGGGGGCUGAACCGGAUGGGCAUGCCUCAGCCCGACCCGGGAUUGAAGGCGUAAGCCAUCUUGAACCCAUAUUUGUUGAGAAUAUCUCGGAUCUCCAGCUAAUCCUGGUCCCACUCGCCCGAGGUCAGUCUUAAACACCUCGAUCGGGCCCUUCCCUUGCCGAUAUACGUGCACCUCCGCCUCGAGCACCUUCGUGCUUACAGAUCGAGUUCUUAACGGACUCGGGUCUAGGGUCUGGGUCGAUAUUAAAGGGGUUUCUUCUUUGAUUUCUCCGAUGCUGUUGGUUGUGUUAUCGUCCGCCAUUGUUCCA